UUUGAAAACACAUAGCCGGAGGAAAAGAAACUAACCAGGAUUCCCCUAGUAACGGCGAGUGAACCGGGAAGAGCUCAAAUUUGAAAUCUGGCGUGCUCAGUGCGUCCGAGUUGUAAUCUAUAGAGGCGUUUUCCGUGCCGGACUGUGUCUAAGUCCCUUGGAACAGGGUAUCAAAGAGGGUGAUAAUCCCGUACUUGACACAAUGACCGGUGCUCUGUGAUACGUCUUCUACGAGUCGAGUUGUUUGGGAAUGCAGCUCAAAAUGGGUGGUGAGUUCCAUCUAAAGCUAAAUAUUGGCGAGAGACCGAUAGCGAACAAGUACCGUGAGGGAAAGAUGAAAAGCACUUUGGAAAGAGAGUUAAACAGUACGUGAAAUUGUUGAAAGGGAAACGAUUGAAGUCAGUCGUGACUGAGAGGCUCAGCCGGUUCUGCCGGUGUAUUCCCCUCAGUCGGGUCAACAUCAGUUUUGUUCGGUGGAUAAGGGCAGCUGGAAGGUGGCACCUCCGGGUGUGUUAUAGCCAGCUGUCGCAUACAUCGAAUGAGACUGAGGAAUGCAGCUCGCCUUUAUGGCCGGGGUUCGCCCACGUCCGAGCUUAGGAUGUUGACAUAAUGGCUUUAAACGACCCGUCUGAAACAGGUUACGUUCUUGCG
This 651-nucleotide ribosomal RNA is filed under the name Papiliotrema terrestris. RNAcentral's name for it is "partial 26S ribosomal RNA". It matches the Rfam family "Eukaryotic large subunit ribosomal RNA", at positions 33 to 664 of the family's 3401-position model. Lineage: Eukaryota; Fungi; Basidiomycota; Tremellomycetes; Tremellales; Rhynchogastremaceae. The record is from RNAcentral.